GGGGAAUAUUGGACAAUGGGCGAAAGCCUGAUCCAGCCAUGCCGCGUGUGUGAAGAAGGUCUUCGGAUUGUAAAGCACUUUAAGUUGGGAGGAAGGGUUUCUGGCUAAUAUCCAGGAAUUUUGACGUUACCGACAGAAUAAGCACCGGCUAACUUCGUGCCAGCAGCCGCGGUAAUACGUAGGGCGCAAGCGUUGUCCGGAAUUAUUGGGCGUAAAGAGCUCGUAGGCGGUUAGUCGCGUCUGCUGUGAAAACUCGAGGCUCAACCUCGGGCUUGCAGUGGGUACGGGCUGACUAGAGUGCGGUAGGGGUGACUGGAAUUCCUGGUGUAGCGGUGGAAUGCGCAGAUAUCAGGAGGAACACCGAUGGCGAAGGCAGGUCACUGGGCCGCAACUGACGCUGAGGAGCGAAAGCAUGGGGAGCGAACA
This 426-nucleotide ribosomal RNA is filed under the name uncultured bacterium. Its description in RNAcentral is "bacterial SSU rRNA". It matches the Rfam family "Bacterial small subunit ribosomal RNA", at positions 356 to 774 of the family's 1533-position model. The record is from RNAcentral.